This 637-nucleotide ribosomal RNA is filed under the name Janthinobacterium sp. BJB303. RNAcentral describes it as "bacterial LSU rRNA". It matches the Rfam family "Bacterial large subunit ribosomal RNA", at positions 1082 to 1712 of the family's 2925-position model. Lineage: Bacteria; Pseudomonadati; Pseudomonadota; Betaproteobacteria; Burkholderiales; Oxalobacteraceae. The record is from RNAcentral.
GGCUAAAACAGUCAGGAUGUUGGCUUAGAAGCAGCCAUCAUUUAAAGAAAGCGUAAUAGCUCACUGAUCGAGUCGUCCUGCGCGGAAGAUGUAACGGGGCUAAGCCAGUCACCGAAGCUGCGGAUAUUUUUUCUGUGAUUUAUCACUGGAAUCAAUAUGGUAGGAGAGCGUUCUGUAAGCCUGCGAAGGUGUCUUGUAAAGGAUGCUGGAGGUAUCAGAAGUGCGAAUGCUGACAUGAGUAGCGAUAAUGGGGGUGAAAAGCCUCCACGCCGUAAGCCCAAGGUUUCCUGUUCAACGUUCAUCGGAGCAGGGUGAGUCGGCCCCUAAGGCGAGGCAGAGAUGCGUAGCUGAUGGGAAGCAGGUUAAUAUUCCUGCACCGUCGUAUGAUGCGAUGGGGGGACGGAUCGCGGAAGGUUGUCUGACUGUUGGAAUAGUCAGUUUCUGUCUCAUAGAAGGCGCUUAGGCAAAUCCGGGCGCGGAAUUCAAGGGGAUGGGACGAGUGCACUUGUGCACGAAGCAAUCGGAAGUGGUUCCAAGAAAAGCCUCUAAGCUUCAGUCAUACGAGACCGUACCGCAAACCGACACAGGUGGGCGAGAUGAGUAUUCUAAGGCGCUUGAGAGAACUCGGGAGAAGGAA